Passer domesticus (house sparrow) is the source of this 6840-nucleotide long non-coding RNA. RefSeq lists it as uncharacterized. The record is from RefSeq and is a predicted model, not a curated record. Lineage: Eukaryota; Metazoa; Chordata; Aves; Passeriformes; Passeridae. The transcript is spliced from 3 exons.
GGCCUCUUUCAGGACUGGGGAGAGCCCUGGGGCCAGGGCCCCUCCUCUUUUUGGGACACCAGGUCUAGCUGGGCAAGUGGCCCCUGUUCCAGCCAGGAGCAGAGGUGCUGUGCCUUCUGCCCUGGGCACAGGGACCUGCCACUGUCACCAGCUCUUUCCACAGCUCGUCCUGAUGCUGGGCCUGCCCUGAAGGGAUGGGCACAGGAGGGGAGUGGCUGUGAAACCCAGGGCGGGGCUUUCACAUUGACUGCUCUCAGUGAGUGUCUGGAAAUGACAGUUUUCCAUCUUCUGCCAACCAAGGCUGCCAGUGUUUCUGUGUUUGUAUUGAUGAGAAGGGUAGAGUGUGGGUUUGUGGUUUCAUGGAGAGCAAAGCAGUGUCUGAAUUCAAUUGAUUUCAAUUUUUUCUUUCAUGGUAUUUUGUCUGUGAAAAGUCUGAAAAUCAAGGACAUCUUUCUGGAAUCUGCUGUCUGUGACCUCAAUACUGGCCGAGUGACCCUUCAGAACCUUGACCUGACUAAGCGAGCGCAUGAACUCUUUUAGGUCUUUUUAGAGGGAGAAAAUAAACCAAACCCAAACCUGUUUGUUGAAUCUUUGGAAAAUCUGACUUAUCCAAGACAGUAUCAUUUGGAAUGUACAGAUCUUCUGUUCAUCAUUCAUUCAGGCGCCUGUGAAGCCAGAGCAGCAAUGCUCUCUUCAAAGAUUUAACACAGCUGAUUGACAUCAAGUCGCUUGAAAUUUUGGCCUCAACUUUCAGUGAUAUUUUGAAUAUGACAAUUUCCGUUUCAGGGAGGAGCAGAAUGCAUUUGCACAGUUCCAUUAUGGUUUGUUUUUUUUUUUUUUCAACACACAGAUUCUCUCAUUUCCCCUUCUGUAGCCUUAAGCAUUAAAGUCAACCAUCUGCUUUGGAAAUGCAGCUGAAAUGUAGCUCUUUCUGCUAUUUUGCUUAACUUUUUUUUAGGGGCUGAAAAUAUUCAGUUGUAAUUUGCUUUACAUUCUUUGUAUUAUUUGCCACUGUGGCAUUGGAAAAAUUCACAGGAGUUUCUCCCAUCUUGGAUUUCAAAAUAAUUUAAAAUAUUAUUAUAAAGACGAUUUGGCAAUAUUUAAUUUUUGCUUCCUGUGUAACUUUAUUAAAUCUGUGCUUUAAAACAGGUGUCACCUAGCAGGCUUUCAGUUCAAUGACAGCAGUUGCUUUUCAGCAGGCUGAUUUUCCUGUAGGACUAGCCAAGGAAAGUACCUUAGGAAACUGAGUUUUCCACAUUGUUGCAGUGUAGGAAUGGUAUUCCCUAGUUGAGUGCUCACGCUGAUACUCCUCAGAGCACAUGCCCCUCACUGACUUCCCCACCACUUUCCCUGUGGCAGGAUGGAGAGAAGAGCACAAAUGGGUAAAGAUCACGGGUUGAGAUAAGAACAAUUUACUAGAAACAGCAGUGAAAAAAGAACACAGACGGUAAUAACAGCACUAAAAGGAGAGUGUACAAGAGGCGAAUGAGUCACACGUGAUCGUUCUCCACACAGAACUUGGCACAGCCCGUGACUUACAGCACACAGGUGGAGGAAGAACAAACCCUUCCAUUUGCCCCUGCCACGUGGCAGGUGGUAUCCAGUUACCCCAAGGUCCUGGCCGUGCUCCUCUGAGCUGCUGCAAAGAUCACCCUCCUGGCCGGAUCCAGGACACAGGAUCCUUCCUGCGGGUCCUGGCUCUUGCUCUGGGUGACAGACCCCCAUGGCAUCUGCCCCGGCAAAAGGGACUUGAGGACAACCUCUCACUUACUGACAUCAGCCCCUCUGCCCCUGCCCCAGCUCCCUUUUUGCCUCCAGAAAACUUUGAACAGAAGUAGCACUUAAGUACAGUUCUGCACAUCCUGAACUGGCAGGAAGGUGACCCACAUGUCGCUCUAGGCACAUGUGCAGCAAGGACAAAGAAGGUGUUUGAGGGGCUGGCUCUCAAGGCAUUCACUCAUGCAAUAGGAGCCCUGUUUCUGAGAGGCACAGCCGAGAGUGGAGCAGUCAGGUGUGGAGAACAGGGGAUCUCCUGAGCCAGGGAAACCCUGGGGGAGCAGAGAGACGCAGACACCGGGCAGACCCCAAGUGACACCUGCUGCUGGGGCACAGGCACCGCGGGGACACGCACACUUUGGGGUGAGCUUGCUGUGCUUUACUGGAGCAUGCAGCACACAGGCAUUCUGUUUCUCAGAAAUCAUUAAAUAUGUAUAAAUUGCUGGAGUCUGCACAGUUAGUUUCUGAGGGUCUGCUGGGGAUCUUUAGAGACCCUGGGUGUUCACUGAGCUUUUGGACUUUUGUUGACCUUUCAUUGUGGUCUUCCAUAUAGUAGUCAUUUUCAUCUUGGUUAUCUGAGCUGCAGAAUGUGUUCUUGAGGAAACUGUAUUGCUCUGGCUUGGCUUGGGACAUAGAGGGUUUCAGAGCUUUCAGAGUUCCACUACCCACUCCUUCCUCCUAAACUAUUUGCAACAUAGAUCCUCACACAGAUCCUUUCAAGAUUUGUCUUGGAAGUCUCACUUCUAAAACUAAUUUUCUUUUCUAGGAUAAUAAUAUUUGUUAUUAUAAAUAUUUGCAAAACAUCUCAUGAAAGCUGACAUACAAUGAAUUAUCACACAGAAAAAAAAAUGCAAACAGCAAUAAUUCCAGCACGGGCUAUAAAUACUUCUGUAAGCCUUUAAAGGUCUGGUAGCCAUGAGGAAAGCCAGUCCCACCUACAGUGGGGACUUCUAGUCUUCUCCCAUUCUUACACUCCUUUUUCUGAUUGAUUGAUGAUAUGCCAGAUUGCUGGAUAUCAAAUCAAUUAGCAUUCUUGUAACAAAUCCAGCAAUUUGUAACCUUUACUCAGGGUUCAAGGCAGUAGCUGUCUUUAGCACCACGUCUUUCGUUCCAGGAGCACCACCUGUUACUUUAAGGUUCUGUUCAGGGAUAACCAGUGACCUCCUUUUUGUGCUGAACCAGACAUAACCAUGUUGGGCACAUAAACUGACACUUUUCUUUCCCAUUUAUUUUCAAGUAUAUUCUAUCAAUCAGGACCAUGGUGGUUCCUGCCCUGAGGUGCAUUGACCAUGCCUUGAGUACAUUUUUUAGUUAUUUUUUGAGAAAUACACUCAAAAUACCACAGGGUUCCUUCCUUCGUUCCCAUUCUUUGAGCUAAAUAUGGGGCUACUGUGCAGGGCAAAGGCACUCAUGGAUGAACAGUGCAAAGGGUUCCAUCAAAUCUGGUAUCUCCAGAGUAGGGGUUGUCAUCAAUAACCUUUAAAAGAUAUGGAAAGGCUGUUGGACAUUCCAGAGUCCAGUGUAACAACCUCCAUGGAUUCCUUUCAUGGUUCAUACAAAGGCUUUUCCAACAGUCCCUAACUGGGGCUCCAUAAUCAACACAAACCAGUCAUUCCCAAAAAGGCACGCAGUUCUUUUACAGAACCAUUGCCAGUUCAGAAAUGCUGCUUUUCCAGAAUGGGAGCAAAACUAAUCAGGAUCAUCUUUGCAGAAACGGCCUCUGGCUUCUGACUUUCUCAAUCCUGUGAUGGGCAAGAAGCAGAGGAUUGACCAAGAGCCCAGUGAUGUCCAGCCAGCAGCUGGUGGCCACUCUCCUUCUUUCUUGGACCUGCCUUCCACAUCCUGUUCAAUUUUGAACAUGUCUACAAAUGUCAGAUCCAUUUCCACUUCCACCCCUGAAGAACAACAGAAAAAUAAGGUUCAGACACAUUCUGGAUUGCCAGUGUCUGCCAGGGUGCAGGGGAAGACUCUCAAGUCCAAGGGAGAAGAAGCAGAGGUCAGAGGAGCCCAACAAAACAAUCCAGGUCCUGUGCCUGAGAAGAAGAGGAUGGUGCCUGUGAGACUUGCAGACAUCGACUGGAGCGGCUGCGCUGCUGUUUACGGCCGACCCUACAGGGACAGGGUGAUUCAUCUGCUUGCUCUGAGGGAUUACAAGGAGCCAGAGUUACUUGCUCGGCUGCAGAGAGAUGGAGUCAGGCCAAAGGACAAGGACUCCCUUGGAAAGAUCCUUCAGCAGGUGAGAUCAUGGAGCUUGUGCCAGCAAUUCGUCCAUUAUGCUGUUUUGCUGUUCCUAAUUUUACUACUUCCUCACCUGUUCAAAUUAGAGACUUUUCCAAUACUCCUUCAAGAUAAGUUCCACUGGUAUUUCUUUCUGAUAGGCUUUCGUCAGAGGCACACCCAUGGAAAGAUGCAGUAGCUCCUUCUUUCAUUUUUAAAUAUUCCCCAUGCACCUAAGCUGUUGCUGAAUUAUGCAAGCAUUAUUAUAUUAAAUAGGAUUAUUUCCUCUUUAGCUAAGAAAAAGAGUUUUGGAGCCUAGGCAAAGGAUUCAAAUUCAACGUGGAUACAGUUUCAGUUGUUCACAGGAUGACUUUUAAGAACUCAUUCUCUGAACCUGUGAAGUUUGUUGCUGUGUUUGCCCAGGGCAGUGGCAGAGCUUUUUCACCCUGCAGACAUUCACAACAUGAUGAGAGCCAUGUUCUGCCAUCCCAGCUGAAGUAGCUCCUUUAGAUUUCUGUAGUUUGCAUAUAGGUGUAAUGAAGAUUUGUUUUCCUGAACAUCUGCCUGUAGGUAGCCAACCUGAAUGCAAAGGAGAAUUCCUUCAGUCUGAAGGAACAUCUAUUUCAAACCCUUCAGACUGAUUGGCUGGCUACAGUAAAAUCGAAAGAAAGAGUUUGAAGUUAAUACUUUCUAGAAAAUCAGCUCCAUCUCAGAACCCCACCAGCAGCAGCCAAGCGACAUCUCCAAGGCCUUCUGAGACAGAUGCUCCAGCAAGACCUGCUCAGGUAUUUUGUGCAUUUUUAACAUUCUGCACUGUGUAUUACAUUUUAGCAGACUUGCUGGUGAUGUAAAAGCUGUGAUGGGAAUGUGCAGGACCAGGCCUGGGCAUGUUUUGCCACACACUGCUGUGACCUCAAGCUUGUGAUAAGAAGAGAGGAUCCAGCAGGGGUGGAGCAGCAUUGUCCUGAUCCAACUUUCUGCUCUGCCUGGAGACUUGAGCUCAGCCCCCACCCUCAACUCAUUCCCUGGACAAGGGCUCAAAGGGCUGGCUCUGCUUGUGUGACAGAACUGCAUGAAAAAUCUCCUGUGCAUAAGAGGCUGCACCAGGUGGGGCAGAUGGGGCCCUCUUGCUCUCUUCUCCCUCUGUCUCUCUGUCACUCUCAUUGUUGACCCCACCUCCGCACUAUCCACAUGGCUGGACAAAACACAGCACCUACGGAAUGGUGCUAUUCCCUCACUCCCUCCUCUGCCUUAAUUUCUCUCCUCCCUCCCUCUGCCUGGGCACAGCACGGCUGUCCUGUUCUACUCCAUCCCUGGCCCUGAGGUUUGCUGUGCCUGUGGGGAGCUUGUGGCCGUCUGUUGUGGCUCGUGAGGCAGCACCUUUGAGAAGCUCCUUGGGAGGAGCUGAGAGAUGACUGAAGGGCCCUGAGCAACAGCAAGGGCUCCUUGGUAACCACUUGUGAAACUCUCUUGUACAAGUUUAAAGACUUGUUAGCCAACAGCUUUUGAGUCUGCGGAGUGGGUAAGCCUGCUGGAUUUAAGACAGCUGUAGCUAAAUGCACAAGAGUUUCUGGACAUGUGACUGGUGACUGUGUUCAUCCUGAUGAGAAUUCACAACCAACCAUAACAACCUGUACUCAUGGGUUGUAAUAGUGAAGCAUUAAUCUUGUUUUUAAUGCAUAAAACUCUAAAACAGCCAUGUUCCUCUGUAACAAAUUAUGUGGGUGUUUGAUAGCAAAAGCUGAGUCUUUUCCUGGUGUGUGCAAGCAGUAAUUGGGACCUAGUCAAAACUUACCUGGCAUCCCCAUUCUGGGGAGGCUUUGCUGGAGCUGCUGAAGGGAGUGCCUACUUCCCAAAGCCUUUUAGCAGUAGACUUGGAGAAGGAUGUGCUAAGUGCUAAGAUGAGAAAGUAGGAAUGCAGCAGAGCAGAUAUUUACCUGCAGGUCUUCCAGGUUUGACAGUUAUUUUUAAUUUAAAAUAGUGCAUUUUAAAACGUUGCCAAUUCAUAGAUGCUUCUUUUUUAGAAUGGAGAGCAAAACCUGAUUGUGAUCAUAGAAGAAUGAAUUAUUUUGUUUUUGUUGCAGAAACGGCCUCGGGCUUCUGGCUUUAUCAGUCCUGUGAGGAGCAAGAAGCAGAGAACUGAGCAGUAGCCCAGUUACAUCCAGGCAGCAGCUGGUGGCUGCUCUUCUUCCUGAGUGCUGGCUUUGACAUCCCAUUCUACAGGGAUGUCAGAGCCAUCCCCAUGGAAUGGGAUGUCAAAGCCAGCACCCUGCCUCCAAGUCUGGGAUCCAUUCCCCUGCACCCUUUAGGUUCAAAAAAAGACAAAUGUUGGAGUUCUAGAAUGCCAGCACUCAUGUGUAGAGGACUAGCAUGUCCAAAAAGAUGUGAAGAGAACUGGGGAGGCUGAAGCAGUAGUGUCCCUUGGAUUUCAAUGAAGGUAUUAAUGUGCUGCUUUUCCUAACUCCAGUGUGGACAAUGAUGGACUAAAAUUUAAUUAUUAAGAGAAGCCUCUGUUCAAAUUUUGGUGCAAGCAAGACCAUAUUUCAGAGUUAAUACUACAGAUGUUAUUUACAAGUAAUUGUGAACUAGGGAGAUAGAAAGGUAAAGGAGGAGAUGGGCCAGGUGGGGGGAAGUGCUGAGAUGAACACCGAGGUGGGUGAGGCCCGGACGGGCCCUUCCUUCCUGCAGUGCAGCUGCACAGGAUCAGCUGCAGCAGUGCUGCUGCAUCCCCUCAUGGCAUUUGCAGGAGAGGAGGGAGAAGUGUGUGUGUGGUAGAAAGCCCUGGAAAUUGCUGGCAGCUUGUGUCAGGGCAGUGAUGUUGGCAGGGGCAGCCAGGCCUCCUGCAGC